Molecule: long non-coding RNA, 1646 nt
Organism: Cyprinus carpio carpio
Lineage: Eukaryota; Metazoa; Chordata; Actinopteri; Cypriniformes; Cyprinidae
Source: Ensembl
CGAGGGUUGAAAACAACAUAUACGCUGCAGAGGGGCAGCUCUCCUGCUGCGAUGUUCUGCACAUGUGCAGCAUAUGUGUUUCACAGCCCUUUGGACCACUUUCCUUUGUUUAUUUUGACAAAACUCUCACUGGCCCAUGUCUUUCAACAGUUCAAUCUCUCUUUUGAUGCACUUUUAUUGAUUUUUGACAUUUUUCAGUUUUUGUCAUCACAUAUACCAAACAAGCGCAUCUCAUAUGCUGCUGCGGCCACUUCUCUUGUUUCCCAGAGAAACGAAAGUUGGAAAUACUUUCACAUCAUUCGAUAUCCCGUCAAUCUCUCAUAAAUGUAAGUUGAGGACAUAUUUUUCAUAUUUUGUCCCAUCGCCUCAACAGCGUGCAGCAUAUGUGCAGCGGCCCGCCCAUUUAGGGUAACGUUUUCGGAUUAAUGGGUGAGCUCUCUCUCAUCUUCCUUCUCAACACCUUAGUCUGCAAACGUGUGCACUGCUGUGAUAAAAAAUGGCAUUUUCUAGUCUGACCACUGAACGUGCAGCCUAUAUGCUGCAGCAUCUUUUCAACCACAUUUUUUUGGUUGGAACCUGGAUAAAACUAUUAAUUAAACUCGGAUAAAACGGAAAAUGUUAUUCUAAAGACUAAUCUGAAGUCUAAUAAGGGAAAUUGUGCAAAAAAAAAAAAAAAAGAAUAAAAAGAAUGGACGGUUAGGUGGUAUGCAAUUAAUACUUUACAACUGGUUGAGAUCAAGGUAAACAGGGCAUCACCAGGGGAGAAUAAAUGCAAUUUAUCCGGGUUUAUACCUAAUUUUCAGCACAAUGAUCCUAUCUAAGAUCAUAUUGUAAUGGUACCAGGAUAAGAUUCUCCCCUGGUGAUAAAAGAUUUCAUUGCUUUUAAGUUAUUUUGUAGCCUUAUAUGUGUUCAGGUUAGUAUUUGUGUGUGGAUAAAUAACCAGAGCCUGCAAACAUAUACCUGUCCACCGUAUGGCGAUGUUGAUCUAGAAUCCUAAAAGACCAUGGAGGGGGUUGUUCCAGGAUAAGAUUCUCCCCUGGUGAUGCCGUUUACCCUGGUCAAAACCAAUUUUACAUACCACCUAACUGCCCAUUCCUUUUAUUCUUUAUUUUAUUUUGUUUUUUAAAAGGGACAAUGCACCUUUUGCUUCAUUAGUCUUCAGAUAAGUCUUUAGAUUAACAUUUUCCUAAUUUUCAGCACAAUGAUCCUAUCAAAAUUCUAAGAUCAUAUUGUGAUGAGAGAUUUUUUACACAGUUUAUCUUAAAGUAUAAAAAGAUUUCAUGGCUUUUAUUGCUUUUAAGUUAUUUUUUAGCCUUAUAUGUGUUCAGGUUAGUAUUUGUGUGUGGAUAAACAACCAGUGCCUGCAAACAUAUACCUGUCCACCGUAUGGCGAUGUUGAUCUAGAAUCCUAAAAGACCAUGGAGGGGGUUGUUCCAGGAUAAGAUUCUCCCCUGGUGAUGCCCUUACAUAGUUUAUUGUAAAGUAUAAAUUGCAUACCACCUAACUGCCCAUUCCUUUUAUUCCUUAUUUUGUUUUUUAAAAGGGACAAUGCACCUUUUGCUUCAUUAGUCUUCAGAUAAGUCUUUAGAUUAACAUUUUCCUAAUUUUCAGCACAAUGAUCCUAUCAAAAAUCUAAGAUCAUAUU